AAACGUAAUUUUUGUCUUUGUCGGCACUGUCUUGCAGUGGCGCUGAAGUUGAUUUCUACCUUUAUUGGCGCUGCUCUUAGCUUGUUUAUCACCGUCGCUCACGAGGUAUUCUCACUCUCUGCGGCAACGCGCUUUCGGUUCCGCCGCGUGAUCGCAACGGAGGCGCGCGAAACGUGAGUUUUCUCUCUGUCAGCACUGUCUUGCAGUGGCACUGAAGUUGAUUUCUAUCUUGAUUGGCGCUGUCUUAGCUUGUUUAUCAGCGCCGCUCACGAGGUAUUCUCGCUCUCUGCGGCAACGCGCUUACGCGGUUUCGGUUGCGCCGCGUGAUCGCAACGGAGGCGCGCCAAACGUUAGUUUUCUCUCUGUCGGCACUCUCUUGCAGGGGAGGCAGAAGUUGAUUUCUAUCUUGAUUGGCGCUGUCUUAGCUUGUUUAUCAGUGCCGAUCACGAGGUAUUCUCGCUCUCUGCGGCAACGCGCUUACGCGGUUUCGGUUGCGCCGCGUGAUCGCAACGGAGGCGCGCCAAACGUUAGUUUUCUCUCUGUCGGCACUCUCUUGCAGGGGAGGCAGAAGUUGAUUUCUAUCUUGAUUGGCGCUGUCUUAGCUUGUUUAUCAGUGCCGAUCACGAGGUAUUCUCGCUCUCUGCGGCAACGCGCUUACGCGGUUUCGGUUGCGCCGCGUGAUCGCAACGGAGGCGCGCCAAACGUUAGUUUUCUCUCUGUCGGCACUCUCUUGCAGGGGAGGCAGAAGUUGAUUUCUAUCUUGAUUGGCGCUGUCUUAGCUUGUUUAUCAGUGCCGAUCACGAGGUAUUCUCGCUCUCUGCGGCAACGCGCUUACGCAGUUUCGGUUCCGCCGAAUGAUCGCAACGGAGGCGCGCGAAACGUGAGCUCUCUUGCAGAUGCGGCGGAAGCUGAUUUCUACCUUGAUUGGCGCGAUAAGGCGCUGUGCGUAGAACCGUGUUUCAAGGAAUACCACACUCUGAAAUAUUAUUGAACAUUUGGAGUUCUGAGUGAUGCCGACAUCAAAAUACUGUUUCUAAUUUUUUUUUCACUAUUUAUUCCCGACUUUAUACAUUUUGUACAUUCAAUAUCCGCAAUAAAGUAAUUUGACCAUCUGGGAAAGUUUUUUUUCAAAAUAAUUCGACCUUCAAAGGGUUAAUUAUACAUGCACACAUGCGCUGUGAACCAAAAGCAGAGAAAAACCACCUGUGUUUUGGAAAAGCUAGUGAAAUGGAAGACAGUAAAAUGAAAAAACUCCACAAGUCCAGGGGACGUUCAAAGCCAACAAGAGCGGAGGUCUAUCUAAAGCUCUGAGGGCUUACCAGUAAACUUAUUAGGCAUCUUGGUGCUCGUACUGUGACCAGAGCUGGCGCAUGUGCGUGUGCAAAUUAAGGAACAGACUUGCUAUGUUCUGCAACAGUGGCACUAUUCCCUACUUCUCAUACUUUACUGCAUAACAGGACUACAUUGCGGCAAAGGUAACUUUAAAGGUAAAUAUCGCCAAGCAAACAAAGUGUUUCGGCCUUUCCUGUGCCAUUUGUUUAAUUCGACCCGCCAGAUAAUUCGACCAGUUUCGUUGGUCCCGUCAGAAUCAAGUGAACGGAUGUCUACUGUAUUAGGAAUGGCUGUAAAGCUUUUACUGCCCCUGCUGAAAAAAAAAAAAAAAGGCACGAGACAUGGUGUACUAUUUAUCUGUCAAAAUUAGAAGGCAGUGCAACCUUUGCUAUCGUGAGUGGCCUCGUAAUUGGCGGUUAGGGUGUUAAGGUGAGUAAAAUCUCAAUAAAUUUAGUUAUUAAGUUAUUAACACUGGUGUGGCAGUUUGCACAAUGCUCUUCCUUAAUAAAUUCACUAGAUAUGAUUCAAAAUAAUUCGGUUCAUUUCAUUCUUUCCAACUGCAACAGAAUAGCAAGCAUAUCAUCCACGAAAUCAAGCCUUGAUCUAUCAUCCCUUGCAUGCCAUUUCGUUAUUUCGUUAAAGCAUUUUUCACACCUUAUUUCAUCAUCCUCACAUCCACACUGAGUUUAUAUUGUCUCCUCAAUAUACGUGUCCUCUCGCUCGGAUCAUGCACAAGUUGGAAUUCCUUUCUGUAAAUCUAAUGCUUUUUCUCAGUCAUCCUUAUAACGGAUAUCAGAAAAGUCGAAUCCCUACCGGCACAAACACCUACCUCCACAAACAACCGCCAUCAAAGAUCAUUACCUGUUCAAGAACACCUCAGCCAACAUUGCACAAUUCUCACGUUCUUGCUAACUUUUGUUUUUUAAUUUCUGAUCUUUGUAACCCACUCCCCACUCUAAUGCCUUUGGCCCUGAGGUUAUGUCAA
Long non-coding RNA from Dermacentor silvarum, 2317 nucleotides. RefSeq lists it as uncharacterized. The record is from RefSeq and is a predicted model, not a curated record. NCBI's taxonomy places the organism in Eukaryota, Metazoa, Arthropoda, Arachnida, Ixodida, Ixodidae. The transcript is spliced from 3 exons.